CUGCUGGAGCAGCUGAUGAUAUACUGCUAAUAGCACAAGAACUAUGACUCAACUGCUUUACCUACCUCUUGUAAGCAAUUGAAAAGCCAAUUACCAGACAGUUCAUCAGGUUAUUAUGUAUUAACAUCAACUAAUGGAUCAGCUGAUUUUGCUGCUUACUGUAUGAUUUUGCUGCAUUCUUAUGUCGUCGUAUGAGAUAAUCGAAUUUUGAUACUAUUGGCUUGCCAUAUGUCUGGACCCGUUUAACUUUUCUUUUUUCAGUCUUUUGUUUCAAGGUUAAGACAGACAAUAUGAGCAGAGCUUUAAGGAAAGCAGUUUGAAAACUUGAAGGAAAAGAAAGAGAUCCAUCUUGCAGAUGAAGGGAUAUCAGCCCUUGAAGACGUACCGGAGCUAUUUUCUGCUUGUCACAUUACUAAACUGAUAUUGAGCCAUAACAGAAAGAAUCAUUGUUUUUAAAAUUCUAAUUAUGCAUACAAUGAUCAGAGUUAGUCUACCUGCGGAAAUAUUGAGCCUAACUGGACUCGAAUAUCUUAAUCUUUUUAAUAACCAGCUUGAGGAUUUGCCCAGUACAAUAAGUACUCUACCAAAACUGAGGGAGC
Molecule: long non-coding RNA, 599 nt
Organism: Amphimedon queenslandica
Lineage: Eukaryota; Metazoa; Porifera; Demospongiae; Haplosclerida; Niphatidae
Exons: 4
Source: RefSeq, a predicted model, not a curated record